GGCAGCAGUGAAUAUUAAAAAAUGUACACCAAAUUUCAUGCUCCUGUGAGAGAGAACUUACAGAGAAUGGCUGAGGAACUUAAGGGGAGCGUCCGCCAUGUCCUUGAUUAUUAGCGUAUGAUCCUGAUUAUAUUCAUGUGAAAUGUAUGCUUAUGGGGAACUAAUAUACACUUACUUUCAGAUCUAUAAGUCAAUACAUAAUAGCAGGAAAAAAUAAAAUGUAAUGUUUAACAAAACUCAACUCUCAAUAUCUCUCUCAUCUAAUGACCUACACUGCUAAAAAAAAAUACCAAAGAAACUUAAAGCAGAAUCCAAAAGAUUCAUCUGGGAAAAAUUUUCAAUUUUGCUUUUGUUAAAUAAUGAGAAUUUUUUUCAAUUUUGUUGGUGUAUCUAACGAUAUUUAUUAUUUUCCAACAAUUGUCCCUUACUAAUUGAAAAUAAAACUCACGAUGAAAAGCUUGCGCUUCAGCUCCUCUUUCCAAUGAUGUAUUGUUUAUUAAAAUCGGUCAAAUAGCGGUGAAGGUAUUGCAGAAAAAAACAGAAACUAAUCCUGUUUUCUAAAAAGGAGAGUUAAAGUCUGCAGGGACUUAAAGAGGUCGCCCUUUAAACCUAGAUGCCUUCCCAAUUGGUAGUCUUUACUGAAUUCCAGUUUUUUCUUUGUUUUGAAGGACUUUCGUGUGUCUGAUGGUGUCCUUUUCUUGGAAAUCCUGGUCAUGAGCCGACAUGCGAAACUUAUCUCUGGCUCCUCCGGGGUGACUGAUGUAUGUGUCAGCUCUGCUGCCUCCAAGGCCAUUGCAGAUGCUAGUUUGCCUCAAGAUGCCAUACGAAUAUUCUUUUAGGCCAUUUUUUUAUGCUGAAACAUGACGAUGUAUGCACCUGUGUAUAAAUAUAGCUUUUUUUAUUUUUAUUUAUUUACUUUUUUUUUUACAUGCCAGACCAUAGCGCCAGCAGGCUUUCUUGAGGGGCCUGGAUGAUUGUUGUCGGCCCUUAGCCCGUCAUGGCGCAGGCAAGUGUUUUAUAGUGACGUAAGUGACAAGCGGAAGAGGGCAGGGCGGGGCGGGAGGGGAUUCAGCCAUAACUGUCAUUUUUGGUUAUUUCUUCAGAAUAUUUUGCCACAAGCUAGUCGAGGCAUGUACAAAGACAUGUGAUUUUUUUAAAUUUUAUCGAUUCUUUUUUUUUUAUAUCCACAGCGGACGCUCUCCUUAACGUAGACUAUGGAAGCAGGCCUAAAGAAGAAUAUGAAGAAAACAGAGGUAAUAAUCAGUUUGCAGGAUAAUAAAUAGUGAUUGGUUAUGAAACACGUAAUAGAGGGAUACACAUACCUAGGACAAAUAAUUAAUGCAAACCCAAACAACAACAAAAUUAAUCAGUAAGAGAAUUCAAAAGAUAUAGUGCUUUUGAUAAACACAGUAAUGUCAUGAAUGGCAAAUUGCCAGUCUCCCUGGAAAUAAAGGUGUUCAAUCAAAGCAUCCUGUCAGUCCUAACAUACAGUUCAGAGACUUGGCAGCUCACAAAAUAUUUAAGAGAAAGCUAAAGAAGUGCACAAAGAGGUAUGGAGGAGUACAGGUAACUCUCGAUUUACGCGAGUUUGGUUUACGCGUUUUUUAAAUAAUGCGGGGUCCAAAAUCCAAAUAAAUGUGUAAUUUACACGUUUUUUCACUUAUACGCGAUAUUUAAUGGAGUGGCCCCCAGAUGUCUCACACAACUGGACUCACACGGCGCCGCGGCCCUACAGCUGACCUCAGUUCUUCCCGUGCGCCACUUGAACAACAACACAGUACCCAUGCUGCCAUGCUACUCAACAUUAUAGGGGUGGGCAGGUACCGGUACUAACGGUACCAGCUAUACGAUACGGUACCGGUACCCGACUGCUCGAUACCGGCACCAGACGGCUCGGUACCGGUACCAGACGGCUCGGUACCGGUACUAGACUGCUCGGUACCGGUACCAAUACGCUCAUGGUGUCCCUCAUUUCUUCCUCACACAAGUGAGGCUGAGUGCCUGAGUAGAUAUCUCGGUGUUAUGGAUAUUCUCUCUCUCUCUCUCUCUCUCUCUCUCUCUCUCUCUCUCUCUCUCUCUCUCUCUCUCUCUCUCUCUCUCUCUCUCCAUUGAAUGAAGUGAAUAUUUAUUUUUUGACAGAAACCUACUUCUUGUUUGAUUUACAUUGUUUUUGAUUUACGCGACCUCUUCAAGGACACAAUAUUCGCAUAAAUCGAGUUACCUGUAUAACAGAGUGACAAGAAUCAGAGAACAAGGAUUAGAGAACAAACAAAGGUAGGAGAUAUUUUGAUGACUAUUAACCCCUAAAGGUCGGCUGACGUGGUAUACCGUCAACCCAUAGAGAUCGGCUGACAUGGUAUACCGUCAAUACAUAUUUGUAGCCCAAUCGAGCAUUAUUUCGCUGGAUUGGCCACACUGCUUAUUAGUGCGUACGAAUAGGUCAUCACCCCACUCGGUAGCCAGUUGCUACCUGCUGGUGAUAAUGAGUUAAAGUGAUUUUUCGAGUUCUCACGCGUUCGGAUCGCUGUGCUCCCCUCAGCCCGACGAACGCAAUGCUCUCUCUUCUCUCUCACAACGAAACGUCAUGGUUUAGGGCGGAGUGAGAGGAUGGUUAGAGACCUUGAUGUGGCGGGUGGUAUCAGCACUCAUCCUGCACCAGCCUGUCGCCAUAGCCACGCCGCGCGAACGAACACAUACGCUCUCCGCACGGAAAGUUACAACACUUAUACACAUCAUAUCUCAGCACACACGCAGGGCAGAGACUUCUAGUUGGUCUCAUUCGAAAGAGGAAGAUUUGAUGUACAGUACAGUACAGUGCUCUCCAGGAGUAAGCAGCAGCACAACACAGCAGUCCCUCUCUCCCUUACCUGGCGUGCAGCAGUUUGGCGCAGCGGUCGUGUGCAUAGUCACAGGUAGCACACUGCACUUCCCUGAGGCCCCCCAGCACCCGACUGCACGCUGCCUCUCCCAGCAUAGUUUCCCCAUCUGAACUGCUCCUGUCAAUGGAUAAAGGGUCAGAUCCAGGACCCCUCAAUUACAAGCCAAACACCGCACCACAUCACCAGGCCCUACCCAAGUGUGCAUGCAUGUAGACAAGCAAGACUUACAUGGUGACUAGUGAUGCAGCCUGGAUGCCCUCCAUGGUGGGCUGGGUGGUGCCAG
Long non-coding RNA from Eriocheir sinensis (Chinese mitten crab), 3162 nucleotides. RefSeq lists it as uncharacterized. The record is from RefSeq and is a predicted model, not a curated record. Lineage: Eukaryota; Metazoa; Arthropoda; Malacostraca; Decapoda; Varunidae. The transcript has 3 exons.